ACACCUCUGGGGUGUUCGUGAGUGACUGGGUAGUACCCUUGAGCCUAGUUUUAUACCCCGGGAGCCGGUUUUGCGGAGGGCAUGUGCAGGUCCGCACUGCGGAAAGCCUACGUCCCCCGCCGAAGCGCCCACUUGAACCGCUGGUUCAAGGUCGAAAGUCACCACGGCACUUACGGAGUGUG
Molecule: non-coding RNA, 182 nt
Filed under: Acidihalobacter prosperus
Lineage: Bacteria; Pseudomonadati; Pseudomonadota; Gammaproteobacteria; Chromatiales; Ectothiorhodospiraceae
Description: 6S RNA
Rfam family: 6S / SsrS RNA
About the family: E. coli 6S RNA was the first non coding RNA to be sequenced, but its function was unknown until recently.
Source: RNAcentral